GACGAACGCUGGCGGCGUGCUUAACACAUGCAAGUCGAGCGGAAAGGCCCUUCGGGGUACUCGAGCGGCGAACGGGUGAGUAACACGUGAGUAACCUGCCCCAGACUUUGGGAUAACCCUCGGAAACGGGGGCUAAUACCGGAUACGACACAGCUUCGCAUGGGGUCUGUGUGGAAAGUUUUUCGGUUUGGGAUGGGCUCGCGGCCUAUCAGCUUGUUGGUGGGGUGAUGGCCUACCAAGGCGACGACGGGUAGCCGGCCUGAGAGGGCGACCGGCCACACUGGGACUGAGACACGGCCCAGACUCCUACGGGAGGCAACAGUGGGGAAUAUUGCACAAUGGGCGGAAGCCUGAUGCAGCGACGCCGCGUGAGGGAUGACGGCCUUCGGGUUGUAAACCUCUUUCAGCAGGGACGAAGCGUAAGUGACGGUACCUGCAGAAGAAGCGCCGGCCAACUACGUG
This 462-nucleotide ribosomal RNA is filed under the name uncultured bacterium. Its description in RNAcentral is "partial 16S ribosomal RNA". It matches the Rfam family "Bacterial small subunit ribosomal RNA", at positions 28 to 507 of the family's 1533-position model. The record is from RNAcentral.